AACGAACGCUGGCGGCAGGCUUAACACAUGCAGGUCGAGCGGUAACAGAGAUAGCUUGCUAUCUGCUGACGAGCGGCGGACGGGUUAGUAACGCGUGGGAAUAUACCCUUCACUAUGGAAUAGCCUCGGGAAACUGAGAGUAAUACCAUAUACGCCCUUCGGGGGAAAGAUUUAUCGGUGAAGGAUUAGCCCGCGUAAGAUUAGAUAGUUGGUGGGGUAAUGGCCUACCAAGUCUACGAUCUUUAGCUGGUUUUAGAGGAUGAUCAGCAACACUGGGACUGAGACACGGCCCAG
RNAcentral lists this ribosomal RNA (294 nucleotides) under uncultured Octadecabacter sp. Its description in RNAcentral is "partial 16S ribosomal RNA". It matches the Rfam family "Bacterial small subunit ribosomal RNA", at positions 29 to 334 of the family's 1533-position model. The record is from RNAcentral. Lineage: Bacteria; Pseudomonadati; Pseudomonadota; Alphaproteobacteria; Rhodobacterales; Roseobacteraceae.